Molecule: long non-coding RNA, 2165 nt
Organism: Trichechus manatus latirostris (Florida manatee)
Lineage: Eukaryota; Metazoa; Chordata; Mammalia; Sirenia; Trichechidae
Exons: 3
Source: RefSeq, a predicted model, not a curated record
GACACAGUAGAACUGCCCCAUAGGGUUUCCAAGGAGUGGCUGGUGAAUUCCAACUGCUGAUCUUUUGGUUAGCAGCCAGAGCUCUUAACCAUUAUGCCACCAGGGUUUCCAAAAGUGGACCCAAAUCUCAUAUCUGGUGCUUGCGUUCUUAGAGUCACCAUUUAAGGAUUGGCUGGUGCCUGUCCUGAAAGUAUAGAGUUCUCUACUGCUUGUAACACAUGACACUGAGUGUGUGUGUGUGUUUUUGCACCACACCCACAGGCUUGUCUGCACGGGCAUGUCUUACAGCGGAACUGUUUACGCCUCCAGGGAGGAAGUGAUUAAAGAACACAGUGUGAAGCAGAUUUUCUUUAUUUCAAGAAUCAUGUAUCUGCAUAUCUCAAUUUUUAGGUUAAUGUCUUUGGAGAAAUGUGAAGAAAAUCUUGCAUACAAAUACGACUGAUCCAUGAGAAAGAUGAGGUGUCUGCCCAGGAGGAGAACAUAGUCCUACUUCCACCAAGGGACCUGGUCACAUUAGGACAGGAAGCCCUCAUCCUCAGGCUUUCAGUGAUGAAUGGGAGGCGUACCCUGCGCUCAAGCACCACCCAAACCAGAGGAGACAAAUGGGUGUGUAGCUCACCAUCACCCAUAGCAACAUGAUAUGAUACAUACCAUGGGGGAAAAAACAAACAAAGUGCUGAUGGAAAAUUAAUCUUAUUUGGGAGAUUUGUUAAGGCUUCCUGCAAAUGGUGGCAUUUAAAAUGAGCCUGAAAAAAGAGUAGGAUUUUGAUAGAUGGAAAAGAUUGUCAUAAGAUAUUAUGGUAUCAGCAUUUAAUAAUAGCUAAAUGCAUCUGUGCUGCACACUUGCAUCUUUUGCAAAGCCUGGUGUCAGCACUCUCUUCUACUAGCAGGAGGUUCCAACUAUCCUCUGGAGAACCACCCUUUUCCUGCUCUCAGCCUAAGUGGUUUGAGUGGGGCUGACCCUGCCUCCUGGCUCUGGACUUAGGCAUGUGACCCAGACUAGCCAAUAAGAGAUAUGCAUUCCCUUAGCACAGUAAUUGGUUCAGGGGUGGGCAUGUGACCCAAACUUACCCAGUCCUGGAGGGUUUCCUGAAACUACUGGGGAAAAAAGCCAGUUGCUGCGGAGUUGAUUCCAACUCAUGGCAAUCCCAACCUCAUGUGUGUCAGAGUAAAACUGUGCUCCACUGGGUUUUCAACAGUUGAUUUUUUGGAAGUAGAUUGCCAGGUCAUUCUGGGUAGACCUGAACCUCUAACCUUUUGGUUAGCAGUGAGCGCUUUACUGUUUGUAACACCCAAGGACUCCAAUUGAGGAAAAAUAUUCACUUUCUGCUGGGGUUACUAAACUGGUUGGUUGUCAUUCAGAAGCUGCGGAGCACCUGAGAAAUGAAGAGAGAGAUUCCAAAAUUCUUGAGCAUCUGGAUCCAGUUGUGCUUAAAACUGUUGUUGGAUUUUUUAGUUAUUCAAGUCAAUAAACUCACUUUUUAAAUAAAUCUUUUUUUUUUUUUUUCCUGUUUGUGCUUUUCCCUUGCAAACAAAAAAAGUCCUAACCAAUACAGGAAUCUUAACUAAUCUUCUGCUUAAAUAAACAAACAAACAAAACAGAUUCACAGAGCAGGUUCCUAGCACAAAAGAAGUCUUCCUGCUGCUAACACCUUCCAGGUCAGCUUGCUGGACCCUGGUGAUUAAGACAUUUGGCCUUUCUUCUGAAACUCCCUGGUUGAGGCCUCUCGAGAAUCUAGCUGACUCCUUUGUGCCAGAUAUUUUUCCGUGAAUCAGAAAUGAAGUAUGCAGCGUUGCAGCCACAAAGUAAUGAAAGAGCUCAUUUGCCUUUUGUGUCUCUCCAAAUUUUGUUUUUUCUGGGUCACACGUUACAAGUUAAAAGUCAUAAUGAUAAUCCAGUUUGGGUUUAUUAACAGUUGAAUAGACUAUUGAAAAAAGACUCAUUAAUCAUCAGAAGCAAAUUCACUGCAGAAGAAUUCCAGACAGAGAGUGGGACAACUGCCUUGAGUCAACUAACUUACUUUUUCUUCAGGGAAAAUGGUUGAGUGUUUGAAUUAAGUGCCACAUCUGGAAAUGUGGAAUGAUAAUUGCUUUUACUGAGUGCUUACUAUGUCCUUGGUACUAAGUACAGUAUUUUGACUACAGUCUCUCUUUAUUCCAACAAC